AGGUGGUAAAUCCUGGCCAAGGCUCCUCGAGCCAGGCCGGCUGGCAGUGCUGCAUCGUGCUGAAGGCGCUGAGGUUGCAGCGGAUGCAUUCCGGGCCAGUGAUAUGAUGUGGACAGGAAAAGUCUUUUGUUCUGGGAAAAUGGAGGACUGAAACCUCUUCAUGUCUUUUUCCCAGGCCCUGAUUUAGGAAGACCAAAACAGGGACUUCUACAGUAGCAGCUUAAUCAGCAGAUGCUGGGUGGUCGCCUCUGCACAUGGCCUGGGGGGCGGGGCGCCUUACCGCGUCACACUGGGUGGAUGGGCCUGUGUGUGGCCUCUCUCCAGCUGUGGCUGACAGUACUCACUCAGCCCAGGCUUCCAGGCCCUCCUGGGCCCUCCUAUCCACUGAAGGAAAUGGGAGAUGAGUGGGUAAUGGAAAAGCCUUUGGAGUCAGAUGUAAAUCCAUGACUUGACCACUUAUUGCUGUGAGACCCUGGACAGCUGGAUAUAGAGUUCUUGUUCUAGCAUCCGCCCUGGGAAUCCCCGGAACUGGGCCUCUUACCGACACCAUUGCCUGUAAUCCACAAACCUAGGAGUUACUCCAGUUACUGUCCUACUGAAGGACCCCCAUCCCAUCUGGGCUACUAUAACCACAUGGACCAUCCCUUGCUUCAAUCAUAGAAUUCUUUCUUCAGAUCAAAGUAUAUUCAGACACUCGAUACAGUAACAAAAGCAAGCUAUCCUGGAAGGAAGAAGGAAUCAGGAGGCAGAGCACAUGGUUAAAGCAUGAGAUGUGAAACCAGGAAGAACCAGGUCUGAACCUUAGCUCCACCAGUGGUAGCUUCAAACCUUGGUCCUUUCUGAGCCUGCUUCUUCAACCGUAAGGGAACGCUACACUUCCUUAGAAAUUAAGAGUGUGUGCUACACUGCUUUACCAGAGCAAGGCCAAAAGCAGCUUCAAUUAUGGUACAACUGUGUGAAGACACAAUGCAAAACCACUCAAGAAUGCUCACUCAAAUGGAUUUUUACCAUGCUCAUCCCCUAUUCUCUUCUUGCAAUCGGGAUGCUGCCUGACUACCAACACACCUGCACAAAGCCCUCUGCAGCACCUGCCACUGGCCCAUGCUUUUGUCAUUGCCACCUCCAGCUCAGCCUCAUUCCCCUCCAGGCUCUGCUCCAACGCACAGGACCACAGGAACUCGGAAACGGGACCCAGAAAGUUGUUUUCUCAAGUGGAUGGAACAACACAAGCAAUCAGUAUCCUGAAACAGGCCCUGUUCCAACAAACUGACCCAGAAAGAGGUUAUACCAAUUAUCUCUCCAGCAAGUAUGAGGACUCCUGUUUCCCUACGUACUCACUACUACAGCAAAGAUAUCAAACAUUGAUACCCACCAAUCUCUGGAUGGAAAAACAAAUCUCAGGGUAGAAUGGAUGGACUUUGUGCAACAUAAUGUGACAGUUAAGGCUGUGGAAUUUAGAGUCAGAAAGACCUGAGGUCCAAGCCCCAGCUCUGCUAUUUUCUACUAUGUGAUCAAAGGACAUUUUCCUAACUCUUCAAAGCUUCCAUGUCCUUGAUCUGAUGGAAUUAGGAAUACUAUCUAUACCGUAGAGGGCAGUUCUGAGGACUAAAAGCAUGCAAAGCCGUUAGCACAGAGCCUGUGAAUAUUCAA
RNAcentral lists this long non-coding RNA (1650 nucleotides) under Homo sapiens (human). Its description in RNAcentral is "PREDICTED lncRNA (TCONS_00151103)". Lineage: Eukaryota; Metazoa; Chordata; Mammalia; Primates; Hominidae. The record is from RNAcentral.